Corapipo altera (White-ruffed manakin) is the source of this 128-nucleotide long non-coding RNA. RefSeq lists it as uncharacterized. The record is from RefSeq and is a predicted model, not a curated record. The transcript has 3 exons. Lineage: Eukaryota; Metazoa; Chordata; Aves; Passeriformes; Pipridae.
UAAGGGAAAACUAUUGGAAGGUCACUGUAUCUGUGAAACUGCAGACGUGACAGAAGAAUAGAAUAAAGCGGAUGGGAAAGCAGAGCAAAUAGCAAACAAGUAACUAUAAGAAGGUUAAGAGAAACAGC